UACAAUGUACAUGUGUCACAUAUGGGCUU
This 29-nucleotide non-coding RNA is filed under the name Rattus norvegicus (Norway rat). The record is from RNAcentral. Lineage: Eukaryota; Metazoa; Chordata; Mammalia; Rodentia; Muridae.